AUUGAUCGCUGGCGGCAUGCCUUACACAUGCAAGUCGAACGGCAGCACGGGAGCUUGCUCCUGGUGGCGAGUGGCGAACGGGUGAGUAAUACAUCGGAACGUACCCUGAAGUGGGGGAUAACGUAGCGAAAGUUACGCUAAUACCGCAUAUUCUGUGAGCAGGAAAGAGGGGGAUCGCAAGACCUCUUGCUUUAGGAGCGGCCGAUGUCGGAUUAGCUAGUUGGUGAGGUAAAGGCUCACCAAGGCGACGAUCCGUAGCGGGUCUGAGAGGAUGAUCCGCCACACUGGGACUGAGACACGGCCCAGACUCCUACGGGAGGCAGCAGUGGGGAAUUUUGGACAAUGGGCGCAAGCCUGAUCCAGCCAUGCCGCGUGAGUGGA
This 381-nucleotide ribosomal RNA is filed under the name uncultured bacterium. Its description in RNAcentral is "bacterial SSU rRNA". It matches the Rfam family "Bacterial small subunit ribosomal RNA", at positions 30 to 409 of the family's 1533-position model. The record is from RNAcentral.